RNAcentral lists this ribosomal RNA (274 nucleotides) under uncultured bacterium. RNAcentral describes it as "partial 16S ribosomal RNA". It matches the Rfam family "Bacterial small subunit ribosomal RNA", at positions 523 to 796 of the family's 1533-position model. The record is from RNAcentral.
AUACGAAGGGUGCUAGCGUUGUUCGGAAUUACUGGGCGUAAAGAGCAUGUAGGCGGAUAGAUUAGUCAGAGGUGAAAGCCCCGAGCUCAACUCGGGAACUGCCUUUGAUACUGUUUAUCUAGAGACCGAGAGAGGUGAGUGGAAUUCUCAGUGUAGAGGUGAAAUUCGUAGAUAUUGGGAAGAACACCAGUGGCGAAGGCGGCUCACUGGCUCGGAACUGACGCUGAGAUGCGAAAGCGUGGGGAGCGAACAGGAUUAGAAACCCUUGUAGUCC